RNAcentral lists this transfer RNA (70 nucleotides) under Mesaphorura yosii. Its description in RNAcentral is "tRNA-Ser". It matches the Rfam family "tRNA". From Rfam's summary of the family: Transfer RNA (tRNA) molecules are approximately 80 nucleotides in length. Their secondary structure includes four short double-helical elements and three loops (D, anti-codon, and T loops). The record is from RNAcentral. Lineage: Eukaryota; Metazoa; Arthropoda; Collembola; Poduromorpha; Tullbergiidae.
AAUUAUUUAACUAAGUGGUAAGUUGGUAUCUUGAAAAUACUAAAAACAAGUUAAAUUCUUGUAAUAAUUU